AGUGAACGCUGGCGGUAGGCCUAACACAUGCAAGUCGAACGGCAGCACAGUAAGAGCUUGCUCUUACGGGUGGCGAGUGGCGGACGGGUGAGGAAUACAUCGGAAUCUACUUUUUCGUGGGGGAUAACGUAGGGAAACUUACGCUAAUACCGCAUACGACCUACGGGUGAAAGCAGUGGAUCUUCGGGCCUUGCGCGAUUGAAUGAGCCGAUGUCGGAUUAGCUAGUUGGCGGGGUAAAGGCCCACCAAGGCGACGAUCCGUAGCUGGUCUGAGAGGAUGAUCAGCCACACUGGAACUGAGACACGGUCCAGACUCCUACGGGAGGCAGCAGUGGGGAAUAUUGGACAAUGGGCGCAAGCCUGAUCCAGCCAUACCGCGUGGGUGAAGAAGGCCUUCGGGUUGUAAAGCCCUUUUGUUGGGAAAGAAAAGCAGCAGGUUAAUACCCCGCUGUUCUGACGGUACCCAAAGAAUAAGCACCGGCUAACUUCGUG
This 492-nucleotide ribosomal RNA is filed under the name uncultured bacterium. RNAcentral's name for it is "partial 16S ribosomal RNA". It matches the Rfam family "Bacterial small subunit ribosomal RNA", at positions 29 to 507 of the family's 1533-position model. The record is from RNAcentral.